UUUCCGUAGGUGAACCUGCGGAAGGAUCAUUAGUGAAUUGAAUAUGUUAGCGGACUUCUUCGGAGCCCCUAGCAUCAAAUCAUAUCCAUAACAUCGGUGAACUGUAAGGCUGUCUUGAGAACGACAUUGAUUAGCGCGCCUGCCCAUUUUAUACAAUAAUUAAAGUAUCAAACGUAGUCUUGUUAUAAACUAAUAAAACUUUCAACAACGGAUCUCUUGGCUCUC
RNAcentral lists this unclassified non-coding RNA (225 nucleotides) under plant metagenome. Its description in RNAcentral is "partial contains small subunit ribosomal RNA, internal transcribed spacer 1, and 5.8S ribosomal RNA". The record is from RNAcentral.